Molecule: ribosomal RNA, 508 nt
Filed under: uncultured bacterium
Lineage: Bacteria
Description: partial 16S ribosomal RNA
Rfam family: Bacterial small subunit ribosomal RNA
Source: RNAcentral
GAUGAACGCUAGCUACAGGCUUAACACAUGCAAGUCGAGGGGAAACGACAUCUAAAGCUUGCUUUUGAUGGGCGUCGACCGGCGCACGGGUGAGUAACGCGUAUCCAACCUGCCCACCACUUGGGGAUAACCUUGCGAAAGUAAGACUAAUACCCAAUGAUAUCUCUAGAAGACAUCUGUAAGAGAUUAAAGAUUUAUCGGUGAUGGAUGGGGAUGCGUCUGAUUAGCUUGUUGGCGGGGUAACGGCCCACCAAGGCUACGAUCAGUAGGGGUUCUGAGAGGAAGGUCCCCCACAUUGGAACUGAGACACGGUCCAAACUCCUACGGGAGGCAGCAGUGAGGAAUAUUGGUCAAUGGACGGGAGUCUGAACCAGCCAAGUAGCGUGCAGGAUGACGGCCCUAUGGGUUGUAAACUGCUUUUAUAAGGGAAUAAAGUGAGUCUCGUGAGACUUUUUGCAUGUACCUUAUGAAUAAGGACCGGCUAAUUCCGUGCCAGCCGCCGCGGUAA